RNAcentral lists this long non-coding RNA (618 nucleotides) under Homo sapiens (human). RNAcentral describes it as "HSALNT0017267". Lineage: Eukaryota; Metazoa; Chordata; Mammalia; Primates; Hominidae. The record is from RNAcentral.
GUCUGGAGGAGGUGAUAUCUGGCUGAGAUCCGGGAGAAGGGUGGUGUCACUGAUGUCUGGAGAGAGAGUCACCUGGCUGAGGUCUGGGGAAAGGGACAUCUGACCAAAGUUUGGGGAAAGAUCUGUCUCACCAAGGUCUGGAGAAAGUGUCAUCUGGUCGAGGUCUGGGGUAAGGGGAAUUUGACUGAGAUCUGCAAAGAGGGGCAUCUCACUGAGGUCUGGGGAAAGGUUUGUCUGACUGAGUUCUGGAGAGAGAGUCAUAUGGCUGAGUUCUGGAGAGAGGUUUGUCUGGCUGAGGUCUAAAGAAAGGGUUGUAUGGCUGAGGUCUGGAGAAAGGGUUGUAUGGCUGAGGUCUGGAGAAAUGGGCAUCUGACCGAGGGCUGGGGAAAGGUUUCUCUGAAUGAGUUCUGGAGAGAGAGUCGUGUGGCUGAGGUCUGGAGAGAGGUUUGUCUGGCUGAGUUCUGGAGAGAGGGUCACCUGGCUGAGGUCUGGAGAGAUGACUGUCUGCCAGACUUCAUGUUCUGAGGAAGGGGACAUUUGACUUAUAUCUGUGGGGAAGGACUUGUGACUUCGGUCAUACUCAAGCAUUUCACUGAGCUCUGGAGAAGAGGAUCUGUG